RNAcentral lists this unclassified non-coding RNA (757 nucleotides) under Hevea brasiliensis (rubber tree). The record is from RNAcentral. Lineage: Eukaryota; Viridiplantae; Streptophyta; Magnoliopsida; Malpighiales; Euphorbiaceae.
AUUGGAAGCAAAUUCUGGAGGUUUCAUCAGUUUCCCUUGUUUUUGGCAUGCAGAAUCAUGAGAACAUUUGGCUUUGUUCAUUAUGUCACUUACAUCAUCAGUGCCCUCAACCUUCUGAGNNNNNNNNNGAAUCAAUAUGCUCUUCAUUUUCUAAUAUCUUAGAUGGUAAGGACUUCUUUCUCCUUUUCCGAAUCCCAACAGUAAUCUGAUGGGCUCCAUCCUUCACUUCGGGACUAGCACUAACAUCUUGAGGGAAAACUUUUCCUUGUUUAGUUGUUUUGGAUGCAACUUUAACUCUGGGAGUUGAAUGAUUCCCUUUCAACUUGGUCUUGGAAACGAUUUCAGUCUUCUGUUCCUCAACAUGGACAGAUGACUCCGUAUCAACAGGUGCUUCUGGCAGCCUCAGUGACAAAUCUGCCAAAGCUUGCAAUGCAUCAAAGGCAUCAGCUUCACCUUCUCCAAAGAGAACUUUCUUGCUUCUCUUUCUUUGACUAGAAGGCCUUGGAAGUUUUGUACCCAAAACCUCCAUUUCUAAUUUUCCUUUGGUAGCACUCAGCUUCUGUCCUUCCUCUGUCCCACUACAAGCUUCCUUUAAGUCAUCCAAAUGAUCAUCCAUAUUCUCCUCCACUUCUGGCUUCCUCACAUGAUAUCUCUUCCCCUUCAUGAAACGUUUAUUUCUUACAUAAUGUCCUAAAUCAGCUUCUGUGCUUCCCAAGCUUAAUUCACACCCACCCUCAUCCAUUUCACUGCCACGAAG